Molecule: ribosomal RNA, 460 nt
Filed under: uncultured bacterium
Lineage: Bacteria
Description: partial 16S ribosomal RNA
Rfam family: Bacterial small subunit ribosomal RNA
Source: RNAcentral
CCUACGGGGAGCAGCAGUGAGGAAUAUUGGUCAAUGGCCGGAAGGCUGAACCAGCCAUGCCGCGUGAAGGGCAGGGACCUAUGGGCGUUAAACUUCUUUUGUGCGGGAGCAAUAAUGGUCACGUGUGGCCAGACGAGAGUACCGUACGAAUAAGCAUCGGCUAACUCCGUGCCAGCAGCCGCGGUAAUACGGGGGAUGCAAGCGUUAUCCGGAUUUAUUGGGUUUAAAGGGUGCGUAGGCUGUGAGGUAAGUCAGCGGUGAAAUGCCCCCGCUCAACGGGGUGAAGUGCCAUUGAUACUGCCUUGCUGGAAUGCGGAUGCCGUGGGAGGAAUGUGUGGUGUAGCGGUGAAAUGCAUAGAUAUCACACAGAACACCGAUUGCGAAGGCAUCUCACGAAUCCGCGAUUGACGCUGAGGAGCGAAAGCGUGGGUAGCAAACAGGAUUAGAUACCCCUGUAGUC